Molecule: ribosomal RNA, 164 nt
Filed under: Krigia biflora
Lineage: Eukaryota; Viridiplantae; Streptophyta; Magnoliopsida; Asterales; Asteraceae
Description: 5.8S ribosomal RNA
Rfam family: 5.8S ribosomal RNA
About the family: 5.8S ribosomal RNA (5.8S rRNA) is a component of the large subunit of the eukaryotic ribosome.
Source: RNAcentral
CAAACGACUCUYGGCAACGGAUAUYUSGGCUCAMGCAUCGAUWAARAACGUAGCAAAAUGCGAUACUUGGUGUGAAUUGCAGAAUCCCGUGAACCAUCGAGUUUUUGAACGCAAGUUGCGCCCAAAGCCAUCCGGCUGAGGGCACGCCUGCCUGGGCGUCACGC